UACGUAGGGGGCAAGCGUUAUCCGGAUUUACUGGGUGUAAAGGGGGCGCAGACGGCGAUGCAAGCCAGGAGUGAAAGCCCGGGGCCCAACCCCGAGACUGCUCUUGGAACUGCGUGGCUGGAGUGCAGGAGGGGCAGGCGGAAUUCCUGGUGUAGCGGUGAGAUGCGUAGAUAUCAGGAGGAACACCGGUGGCGAAGGCGGCCUGCUGGACUGCAACUGACGUUGAGGCCCGAAAGCGUGGGGAGCAAACAGG
RNAcentral lists this ribosomal RNA (253 nucleotides) under uncultured bacterium. RNAcentral's name for it is "partial 16S ribosomal RNA". It matches the Rfam family "Bacterial small subunit ribosomal RNA", at positions 524 to 776 of the family's 1533-position model. The record is from RNAcentral.